UUUCAUUUGCAGCUCUCCCUCUGAACACCAGUCGCAGAUGGCUUUGCAACUCUGUUUCUCACCGAAGGAGGAUGGCAGGAGUGAUACAGGAAUUCAGAGAAUAAAGGAAAAUGCUCCGGAAUUCCCAGAUCACAAUUGCCAAGUGCAUAAUAUGGAAACUGCCACCAAGCCUAGUGCUUCCACCUCUUUCUACUCUCACUGGCUACCCGGUUCCUCCAGGAUGGAAGAGGGGAAGAAAGAGCUGAGGAGUCGGAAAGGUGUUGGAUGGCUCUGGCUACCAUGGCUACCUCUGGCCAUGGCAGAUGUUUCCAGCUGACGGUUUCUCUUAUGAGCCCUGUGGUGGGUUUGUUGGACAUCACUUACCACAGCCACCCUGCUGGGGAGCUUCUUACCACCCAUUCAUCCCCUUGGCAUGAGCAGGUUCAUUUUGCCUUUGCUUCGUUGCUUUAGAGUUUUACCCUGGACCCUGAACAUUUGGAGGCAAACCUCUGGCCUCUUGCUGCAGAGACCCCUGCCUUUCCAAGCAAUCCUCUUGGGUACAAUCAAGGCCAAUCCUGCCCUGAGUCACUCUCUUAGACUUGUCUUCUGUGAGAGUAAAUUACUUCCCUGACCACAGUCUCUACCUGAUAUUCAGGCCACUUUUGCUAACUCUGGUCCUUUAGGUUUCUCAGGCAUGAGCCAGGCACCAGUCCGUGGUACUCCCCAAACUGCAGGGGACAUCCACGGAGCUCUCCAAGAGGUCUUCCUGAAGUCUUUCUCACCAGACUUAAGGUGAGAGAAAAACCCCGUUCCCCUCCCUGUGGUAAGUGCAGAGAAAGGACCUCUUAGAAUGCCUAUGACAGGGUAAACGAGAAAUUCAGGAACACUCCUUUGGAAAUCCUACAUAGUAGUCCAGAACUUUGUUUGGAAUGUGAGUGUGGUUGACAACUAUUAUCUGAGCCCUCUCUCAAAAUGGGACUAAAAUAAAGGCUUCCAUUUAACAUCCUGUGACCAGAUGUAUUCUCAC
This 1006-nucleotide long non-coding RNA is filed under the name Macaca mulatta (Rhesus monkey). RNAcentral describes it as "lncRNA (ENSMMUG00000059119.1)". The record is from RNAcentral. Lineage: Eukaryota; Metazoa; Chordata; Mammalia; Primates; Cercopithecidae.